UUUUUUUUUUUUUGGAGACAAGGUCUCAGUAUGUUGCCCAGGCUGGAGUUGAACUCCUGAACUCCUGAGCUCAAGCAAUCCUCUCUCCUCACCCUCUAGAGGAGCUGGGACUAUAGGUACAUGCCACCACACCCUUCUCGCCAGACUUCCUACUGCUGUGGUCCUCACCCACAGCCAAAAGGCAGGUGUGACAGUGCCAAAGAUUGGUCCUCCCUGGUUUCUAAUGGGUGAAUCACAAAUUUGGUUUUCUUCACGGGGAGCUGGUCUAAGGUCAGAUUCAGCCAAAAGGCAGGUGACUAACAGUGGUGUUUAGGGCAUGUGCAGGCUGCAGGCCUUGUGGCCAGGCCUCAAGCUGCUGUGUGGGGAGGCUCAGGGCUGGGUUCAGCUCUGCUGCUCACCAGCUGUGUGGCCUUGGACCAGUCACUUUACCUCUCUGAGCCUCAGUUUUCUCACCUGUGAGAUGACGAUGAUCUGGCCUUGCAAUGAUGCCAUAGAGUCAACAGAAGAGGCACAGGGGAAGGUCUGGGUGAGAGGUGGGCUGCAGACAGUCGGAGCCCUCCAUGGCUCUCCCCUCCCCCGCCUGCCUUCCUGCCUAGGCUUGGCCAGAUGGUGGGAGCUGGGAAAUGCAGCAGAGCUGCACGCUCCUGGUCUAUUUUGAGAAGCCUCCUGUUUCCUUUCCUGCCUGGGGCCAUGUGGUGACUGCGGGUCUCUGCUUACAGGACGGGCUCAGAGAGCCUGACCUUCGCCUUCCUCUACCCCUCACUCCCAGCCCUUCCCUUCCUUGUGGUCUGGACCCCGUAAAUCCCCAUAUCCUGGUUCCCAGCCCAGGCACCAUGGCCCCCACCCAGCAGGGGUGGAGAUCAGGCUUUCACAGGGGAUUUGGGGUAGGGGACUUUUCACUUGUCUGCGCUAUGGAGGAACCAGUGAGCUGUCCCACCGCACCCAAGUCCCUUUGCUACAGAGCCUUGCUGUUGGUGGCUGCCAGCAUCUCCAGCUUACUGCAGGGGUGGGGGGUGGAGUCUUCCACACGCCCCACACAGCUUCCUCCAGAGCCUCCUGAGGGUCCUGCAGAGAGAAACGGCCACCCAGAACGCUGGCGGCCCCGCCAAGAGGUCAGGCAGCCCCUGGCUUGUAGCCUGCCUUGUCUGAGUUCCAGGCCAGCAGGGGAAGUGGUGGCCCCACACGCUGUCAGUCGCCAUGCCAGAAACUUAGCAGCCACCCGUGAUUCCUCCCUCUCCCUUACUCCUCCCUGCCUAGAGCUCUGACCCCAGCAUGCCUGGCUUUGAGUCCCACCUCUAUCACUUACCAGAUCUGUAAACUCUCAUCUCUCUGUGCCUUAAUUUACUUCCUGUAAAGUGGAGAUCAGGAGAGCACGUGCCUACUUCAUUGGUUUGUGGGGAAGAGAUAAUAGUUAACACAGACAGAGUGCUUAGGACGGUGCCUGGCUGUCUUAGUUCGUUCUGCUGCUGCAACAAAAUACCUUAGACUGGGUAAUUUAUAAAUCAUAGUGAUUUAUAUCUCAUUGUUCUGGAGGCUGGGAAGUCCAACAUCAAGAUACAAACAGAUUUAGUGUCUGGUAAGGGCCUGUUUUCUGUGGGUCAUAGAUGGUGCCUUCUUACCGCUUCCUUGUGAGGUAGAAGGGAAGAGUUCUGGUCUCUUCAGCCCCUUCUGAGGGCUCUAAUCCCAUUCACGAAGUGGAGCCCUCAUGCCUUAAUACCCCUUAAAAGCCCCUCCUCUUAAUACUAUCACACUGGUGAUUAAGUUUCAACAUAUGAAAUUGGGGAGAUGCAUUUAGACCAUAGCUCUGGCACAUAGCAACUACUCAAUUAAUGCUAGGUCUUGUUAUCAAAUUGGUCAACACAUUCUACCCACUCCAAUUCUUUGGCAUUGCUUCUGCCUCCUAGAUUUCUGUCCUCCUUUAACUGCUCCUGGUGCACUGCGGAACCCUUCUCACUGGUCUCAUCAUCUCUUUCCUUCCACCCCACUAAAGCCAGGGGUGUCUUUCUAAAUAAAAAGUCUGAUUAGGCUGGGUGCCUUGGUGGGUGGAUCACUUGAGGUCAAGAGUUCGAGACCAGCCUGGCCAGCAGGGUAAAACCCCGCCUCUACUAAAAAUGCAAAAAUUAGCCAGGUAUGGUGACAGGUGCCUGUCAUCCCAGCUAUUUGGGAGGCUGAGGCAGGAGAACCACUUGAACCUUGGUGGCAGAGGCUGCAGUGAGCCCAGAUCAUGCCACUGCAGUCUA
This 2240-nucleotide long non-coding RNA is filed under the name Macaca fascicularis (crab-eating macaque). RNAcentral's name for it is "lncRNA (ENSMFAG00000050709.1)". The record is from RNAcentral. Lineage: Eukaryota; Metazoa; Chordata; Mammalia; Primates; Cercopithecidae.